GANUUGAAGAGUUUGAUCAUGGCUCAGAUUGAACGCUGGCGGCAGGCCUAACACAUGCAAGUCGAGCGGUAGCACAGAGAGCUUGCUCUCGGGUGACGAGCGGCGGACGGGUGAGUAAUGUCUGGGAAACUGCCUGAUGGAGGGGGAUAACUACUGGAAACGGUAGCUAAUACCGCAUAAUGUCGCAAGACCAAAGUGGGGGACCUUCGGGCCUCAUGCCAUCAGAUGUGCCCAGAUGGGAUUAGCUAGUAGGUGGGGUAACGGCUCACCUAGGCGACGAUCCCUAGCUGGUCUGAGAGGAUGACCAGCCACACUGGAACUGAGACACGGUCCAGACUCCUACGGGAGGCAGCAGUGGGGAAUAUUGCACAAUGGGCGCAAGCCUGAUGCAGCCAUGCCGCGUGUGUGAAGAAGGCCUUCGGGUUGUAAAGCACUUUCAGCGGGGAGGAAGGCGUUAAGGUUAAUAACCUUGGCGAUUGACGUUACCCGCAGAAGAAGCACCGGCUAACUCCGUGCCAGCAGCCGCGGUAAUACGGAGGGUGCAAGCGUUAAUCGGAAUUACUGGGCGUAAAGCGCACGCAGGCGGUCUGUCAAGUCGGAUGUGAAAUCCCCGGGCUCAACCUGGGAACUGCAUUCGAAACUGGCAGGCUAGAGUCUUGUAGAGGGGGGUAGAAUUCCAGGUGUAGCGGUGAAAUGCGUAGAGAUCUGGAGGAAUACCGGUGGCGAAGGCGGCCCCCUGGACAAAGACUGACGCUCAGGUGCGAAAGCGUGGGGAGCAAACAGGAUUAGAUACCCUGGUAGUCCACGCCGUAAACGAUGUCGAUUUGGAGGUUGUGCCCUUGAGGCGUGGCUUCCGGAGCUAACGCGUUAAAUCGACCGCCUGGGGAGUACGGCCGCAAGGUUAAAACUCAAAUGAAUUGACGGGGGCCCGCACAAGCGGUGGAGCAUGUGGUUUAAUUCGAUGCAACGCGAAGAACCUUACCUGGUCUUGACAUCCACAGAACUUUCCAGAGAUGGAUUGGUGCCUUCGGGAACUGUGAGACAGGUGCUGCAUGGCUGUCGUCAGCUCGUGUUGUGAAAUGUUGGGUUAAGUCCCGCAACGAGCGCAACCCUUAUCCUUUGUUGCCAGCGGUUNGCGGUGGAGCAUGUGGUUUAAUUCGAUGCAACGCGAAGAACCUUACCUGGUCUUGACAUCCACAGAACUUUCCAGAGAUGGAUUGGUGCCUUCGGGAACUGUGAGACAGGUGCUGCAUGGCUGUCGUCAGCUCGUGUUGUGAAAUGUUGGGUUAAGUCCCGCAACGAGCGCAACCCUUAUCCUUUGUUGCCAGCGGUUCGGCCGGGAACUCAAAGGAGACUGCCAGUGAUAAACUGGAGGAAGGUGGGGAUGACGUCAAGUCAUCAUGGCCCUUACGACCAGGGCUACACACGUGCUACAAUGGCAUAUACAAAGAGAAGCGACCUCGCGAGAGCAAGCGGACCUCAUAAAGUAUGUCGUAGUCCGGAUUGGAGUCUGCAACUCGACUCCAUGAAGUCGGAAUCGCUAGUAAUCGUAGAUCAGAAUGCUACGGUGAAUACGUUCCCGGGCCUUGUACACACCGCCCGUCACACCAUGGGAGUGGGUUGCAAAAGAAGUAGGUAGCUUAACCUUCGGGAGGGCGCUUACCACUUUGUGAUUCAUGACUGGGGUGAAGUCGUAACAAGGUAACCGUAGGGGAACCUGCGGUUGGAUCACCUCCUUA
RNAcentral lists this ribosomal RNA (1739 nucleotides) under Klebsiella pneumoniae. Its description in RNAcentral is "bacterial SSU rRNA". It matches the Rfam family "Bacterial small subunit ribosomal RNA". Lineage: Bacteria; Pseudomonadati; Pseudomonadota; Gammaproteobacteria; Enterobacterales; Enterobacteriaceae. The record is from RNAcentral.